GAUGAACGCUGGCGGCGUGCCUAAUACAUGAAAGUCGAGCGAACAGACGAGGAGCUUGCUCCUCUGACGUUAGCGGCGGACGGGUGAGUAACACGUGGAUAACCUACCUAUAAGACUGGGAUAACUUCGGGAAACCGGAGCUAAUACCGGAUAAUAUAUUGAACCGCAUGGUUCACUAGUGAAAGACGGUUUUGCUGUCACUUAUAGCUGGAUCCGCGCCGCAUUAGCUAGUUGGUAAGGUAACGGCUUACCAAGGCGACGAUUCGUAGCCGACCUGAGAAGGUGAUCGGCCACACGGAAACUGAGACACAGUCCAGUCACCUACGGGAGGCAGCAGUAGGGAAGCUUCCGCAGUGUGCGAAAGCCUGACGGAGCAACGCCGCGUGAGUGAUCAAGGUCUUCGGAUCGUAAAACUAUGUUAUUAGGGAAGAACAAAUGUGUAAGUAACGAUGCACGUCUUGACGGGACCUAAUCAGAGAGCCACGGCUAACUACGA
Molecule: ribosomal RNA, 496 nt
Filed under: uncultured bacterium
Lineage: Bacteria
Description: partial 16S ribosomal RNA
Rfam family: Bacterial small subunit ribosomal RNA
Source: RNAcentral